AGCGAACGCUGGCGGCAGGCUUAACACAUGCAAGUCGAACGGGCACCUUCGGGUGUCAGUGGCAGACGGGUGAGUAACACGUGGGAACGUACCCUUUGGUUCGGAACAACUCUGGGAAACUGGAGCUAAUACCGGAUACGCCCUGAUGGGGAAAGGUUUAUCCGCCGAAGGAUCGGCCCGCGUCUGAUUAGCUAGUUGGUGGGGUAACGGCCCACCAAGGCGACGAUCAGUAGCUGGUCUGAGAGGANGAUCAGCCACACUGGGACUGAGACACGGCCCAGACUCCUACGGGAGGCAGCAGUGGGGAAUAUUGGACAAUGGGCGCAAGCCUGAUCCAGCCAUGCCGCGUGAGUGAUGAAGGCCUUAGGGUUGUAAAGCUCUUUUGUCCGGGACGAUAAUGACGGUACCGGAAGAAUAAGCCCCGGCUAACUUCGUGCCAGCCGCCGCCGUAAU
Molecule: ribosomal RNA, 453 nt
Filed under: uncultured bacterium
Lineage: Bacteria
Description: bacterial SSU rRNA
Rfam family: Bacterial small subunit ribosomal RNA
Source: RNAcentral